Molecule: ribosomal RNA, 492 nt
Filed under: uncultured bacterium
Lineage: Bacteria
Description: partial 16S ribosomal RNA
Rfam family: Bacterial small subunit ribosomal RNA
Source: RNAcentral
GAUGAACGCUAGCUACAGGCUUAACACAUGCAAGUCGAGGGGAAACGGCAUUGAGUGCUUGCACUCUUUGGACGUCGACCGGCGCACGGGUGAGUAACGCGUAUCCAACCUUCCCAUUACUGUGGGAUAACCUGCCGAAAGGCAGACUAAUACCGCAUAGUCUUCGAUGACGGCAUCAGAUUUGAAGUAAAGAUUUAUCGGUAAUGGAUGGGGAUGCGUCUGAUUAGCUUGUUGGCGGGGUAACGGCCCACCAAGGCUACGAUCAGUAGGGGUUCUGAGAGGAAGGUCCCCCACAUUGGAACUGAGACACGGUCCAAACUCCUACGGGAGGCAGCAGUGAGGAAUAUUGGUCAAUGGACGGAAGUCUGAACCCGCCAAGUAGCGUGCAGGAUGACGGCCCUAUGGGUUGUAAACUGCUUUUGUAUGGGGAUAAAGUUAGGGACGUGUCCCUAUUUGCAGGUACCAUACGAAUAAGGACCGGCUAAUUCCGUG